UGCCCGAUGAGGUCCUCCUUGACUAGCUC
RNAcentral lists this small RNA (29 nucleotides) under Bombyx mori (domestic silkworm). RNAcentral's name for it is "ovarian small RNA-8554". The record is from RNAcentral. Lineage: Eukaryota; Metazoa; Arthropoda; Insecta; Lepidoptera; Bombycidae.